RNAcentral lists this non-coding RNA (28 nucleotides) under Mus musculus (house mouse). Lineage: Eukaryota; Metazoa; Chordata; Mammalia; Rodentia; Muridae. The record is from RNAcentral.
UAAACCAAGAUCGAAGGCCAGCUUCCUU